This 451-nucleotide ribosomal RNA is filed under the name uncultured bacterium. RNAcentral's name for it is "bacterial SSU rRNA". It matches the Rfam family "Bacterial small subunit ribosomal RNA", at positions 335 to 801 of the family's 1533-position model. The record is from RNAcentral.
ACUCCUACGGGAGGCAGCAGUGGGGAAUCUUGCGCAAUGGGCGAAAGCCUGACGCAGCCAUGCCGCGUGAAUGAUGAAGGUCUUAGGAUUGUAAAAAUUCUUUCACCGGGGACGAUAAUGACGGUACCCGGAGAAGAAGCCCCGGCUAACUUCGUGCCAGCAGCCGCGGUAAUACGAAGGGGGCUAGCGUUGCUCGGAAUUACUGGGGCGUAAAGGGAGCGUAGGCGGACUGUUUAGUCAGAGGUGAAAGCCCAGGGGCUCAACCUUGGAAUUGCCUUUGAUACUGGCAGUCUUGAGUACGGAAGAGGUAUGUGGAACUCCGAGUGUAGAGGUGAAAUUCGUAGAUAUUCGGAAGAACACCAGUGGCGAAGGCGACAUACUGGUCCGUUACUGACGCUGAGGCUCGAAAGCGUGGGGAGCAAACAGGAUUAGAUACCCUGGUAGCUACGAG